This 497-nucleotide ribosomal RNA is filed under the name uncultured bacterium. RNAcentral's name for it is "partial 16S ribosomal RNA". It matches the Rfam family "Bacterial small subunit ribosomal RNA", at positions 28 to 507 of the family's 1533-position model. The record is from RNAcentral.
GAUGAACGCUGGCGGCGUGCCUAAUACAUGCAAGUCGAGCGAACAGACGAGGAGCUUGCUCCUUUGACGUUAGUGGCGGACGGGUGAGUAACACGUGGAUAACCUACCUAUAAGACUGGGAUAACUUCGGGAAACCGGAGCUAAUACCGGAUAACAUGUUGAACCGCAUGGUUCAACAGUGAAAGACGGUCUUGCUGUCACUUAUAGAUGGAUCCGCGCCGCAUUAGCUAGUUGGUAAGGUAACGGCUUACCAAGGCAACGAUGCGUAGCCGACCUGAGAGGGUGAUCGGCCACACUGGAACUGAGACACGGUCCAGACUCCUACGGGAGGCAGCAGUAGGGAAUCUUCCGCAAUGGGCGAAAGCCUGACGGAGCAACGCCGCGUGAGUGAAGAAGGUCUUCGGAUCGUAAAACUCUGUUAUUAGGGAAGAACAAAUGUGUAAGUAACUAUGCACGUCUUGACGGUACCUAAUCAGAAAGCCACGGCUAACUACGUG